GAUGAUCUGUCACUAUCUCCCAUCACCCACAGAUGGAACCAUCUAGUUGCAGGAAAACAAGCUCAGAACUCCCACUGAUUCUACAUUAUGAGAAUUAACAGGACCAUCCUUUCUGGAGCUGCUCAAGAUCGGCUGAAGGAAGCAAAGCUACAUUUCUUGUUUUCUGGUUCCUAUGAACAGAAGCAGAAUUUUUUCACAACAGAAAGUGAAGCAACGAAGUUUUGAGGGUUGCUCCUCAUUUAAUGAUGUGGGAUCUUGUUAUGUUACCCAGGCUGGAGAGCAGUGGCUAUUCACAGGUGUGAUAGACACACUAUGACCUGGAACUCCUGGCCUCAAGUGACCCUCCUGCCUUAGCCUCUCAAGCAGCUGGGACUAUAGGCUCCUGACACCAUAUCCAGCUGAACCUGAUUUUAUAUUCCAGUGGCUGACAAACUAACUCCUCCGAACUACAGAUUCUACCCACCUAAUUUUUGCCAGUUUGUAUGCAAAAGAACAACUUAUCACUUUUUAUUUUCAAGUCACUUCCCUCCAACCAUGUACGUUAAACCCAUUUCAAAAUAAACUUUGUCAAGAAAGCUUACCUACUUUCUAGACUCUAGAUCAAAGAUGU
RNAcentral lists this long non-coding RNA (610 nucleotides) under Pan troglodytes (chimpanzee). RNAcentral describes it as "long non-coding RNA NONPTRT012786". Lineage: Eukaryota; Metazoa; Chordata; Mammalia; Primates; Hominidae. The record is from RNAcentral.